GGAAAUAUACAAUUUAAAAAAAAGGGAAAACCUACAUUAAGAUUUAAACAUCUAUCUUAAAAUGUAAAAUAGAGAUAUUAAGUAGAUAAAAAGUACAAGAAAUGGAAAUACAUAUACAGGAAAAUAAAUAAUAAUUAAAUAAUAUAAAUAUAUAAUAUAUGAAUUAUAUCUAUAAUAAUAAGUAAAUACACAAUUUUAAAAAAAAUGGAAAAAGUUCAUUAAGCAUUAAACAUCUAUCUUAAAAUGUAAAAUAUAUGAUAAAAGUAAAUACACAAUUUAAAAAAAGGAAAAAGUACAUUAAGAUUUAAAUAUCUAUUUUAAAAUAUAAAAUAUAGAUAUUACGUAAAUAAAAAAUAUAAGAAAUGGAAAUAAACAUUUUAAAAAAUGGAAAAAGUACAUUAAGAUUUAAACAUCGAUCUUAAAAUGUACAUCUAUCUUAAAAUGGUAGUAAAUUAUAUAAAAAUGAAAAUACCUCAUUAAACAAAAAAAAAUUAAAAAUGUAUAGUUUUACAUCAAGAAAGUCCCUAUAAAACUCAUUAUUCCAUCAACCUCACACUAUUAAGGAAAACUUCAAAGCACUCGAGCAAAAAAAUGGUUCUACCAUCAACUCUUGCCGUCCCAAAAACCUUUAAUGACCUUGAAAGAGAUUUUUUAUAACAACAAACUUUUUGUUAGGUGGAUUCAUUGUUGGGAAACCCGCAACUUUCAAAAACCAAACUUAUUCAUGGGAAUUGAAUUGCUUUUCAUAGACUCAAAGGUAUUCUUACAAAUUUAAAUUAAUCUAAUCCAUAAUUUUAUUGUUAAUAUUCGUACUAGCUCUUUCAUGAUCAAACCAUUACAGUUAAUAAUCAUUCAAGCGUUUAUCCCGAAACACUUCCUUCCUCGCUGAAUCAGGUAUUGGUUCAUGUUGGUUUAGUAUUGUUUUUGGUUUAUUAACCGGUUUAGGAUGGUCCUAUUGUAAAUAUAAUUUAAGUUGGUUUAGCAUAUAUUAUGCUUAAAAUAACUUAAAUUAAAUAAUAGUAAUAUUAUGCUU
This 1033-nucleotide long non-coding RNA is filed under the name Brassica rapa (field mustard). RNAcentral's name for it is "long non-coding RNA (BRAP_LNC001756)". Lineage: Eukaryota; Viridiplantae; Streptophyta; Magnoliopsida; Brassicales; Brassicaceae. The record is from RNAcentral.